Molecule: ribosomal RNA, 254 nt
Filed under: uncultured bacterium
Lineage: Bacteria
Description: partial 16S ribosomal RNA
Rfam family: Bacterial small subunit ribosomal RNA
Source: RNAcentral
GACGAACCGUGCAAACGUUGUUCGGAAUCACUGGGCUUAAAGGGCGCGUAGGCGGACCCGCCAGUCUGCGGUGAAAGCCCCCAGCUUAACUGGGGAAGUGCCGUGGAUACUGCGGGUCUUGAGGAGGGUAGGGGCAUCUGGAACGCUGGGUGGAGCGGUGAAAUGCGUUGAUAUCCAGCGGAACUCCGGUGGCGAAGGCGAGGUGCUGGACCCUUUCUGACGCUGAGUGCGCGAAAGCCAGGGGAGCAAACGGG